This 2458-nucleotide long non-coding RNA is filed under the name Homo sapiens (human). RNAcentral describes it as "HSALNT0396023". Lineage: Eukaryota; Metazoa; Chordata; Mammalia; Primates; Hominidae. The record is from RNAcentral.
GACCAAGCCCAGCCAAUGAGCCGAAACUCCAUCUCUACAAAAAACAAAACAAAAAAAAGUUAGCCAGGUAUGGUAUUGUGUACCUGUAAGUCCCAGCUACUCAGUAGGCUGAGGUGAGAGGAUCACCUGAGCCCAGGAGGCAGAGGUAGCAGUGAGCCGAGGUCAUGCCACUGCAUUCCUGCCCGGGCCACAGCAAGACCGUGUCUCAGGGAAAAAAAAAAAAAAAAAACUCUCCUUUUUUGGGGGGCACUGUAAUUGGGUACAUUUAAGUUUACUCAUUUUAUGUUUCUGGCAAAUUGUGCUAUUAGUGCCCAUACUUUUCCCCUAAUAACUAAUGUUCAUUAAUUUACUACAAAUGUGAGCUACUGACCUAGAAAUACCAUUUUCUCAACCUGUAAGGACAACCAGGAGCAACUUACUUUUUCUCAGCGUUACAUCAGUUAUACUGUUGCUUGCAAUAACAUCCAGCAGAUUCCAAGCAUCAAGGAGUCACGCUCUUGAGGAAAGGUGCGCCUUGUCCAGGAGCUCCAGAAGCCACCUGUGCAGAAAUUUCACCAGUCUCCAAGUCCUGCAGAGCAGUCACAUGGCACUCCAGACCCACCCUGCAAUCCACUGCCCCAAAAGUCACCAUGGGGUGAACACAGCUCAACAUUGGUGGAAGGUGUGGGUGCCUUAACGCAUUCAUUAACCAAUAACUGUGGGCUUUGCUCUAGAGACAGAACUAAAGCCCCCACCCUCUUCUACUCUGUUAGUGGAGCCUGCGGUUUUUAUGGGCACAGGAUGAGGGCGGGGCAGGCCAUGAGUGGUUUUGAAAAAGGCAACAUUUGAACUGGAAAAGAAGGAUGUGAAGUUAUCACUUUGGGCCAAUCUGAAAAGUUACGUACUGCACAAUUCCAACUCUAUGACAUUCUGAAAAAGGCGAAACUAUGGAGACAGUAAAAAGAUGAGUGGUUGUCGGGCUGGGGAGAGGGAGGGAGGAAUAGUGGGAGGACCGAUGAUCUGUGGACUUUGGGUGAUAAUGAAGUGGCAAUGCAGGUUCAUGAAUUCUAACAAAUGUAUUACUCUGGUGGAGUAUGUUGAUGAUGGUGGAAGCUAUGCAUAUGUAGUGGCCGCAGGAAUAUAGGAUGUCUUUGAACCUUCCACACUAUUUUGCUGUGAACCUAAAACUGCUCUGAAACAUGGAUUUUUUGUUUUGAGACAGCGUCUGACUCUGUCACCCAGGCUAGAGUGCAGUGGCACAAUCUCAGCUCACUGCAACCUCCUUCUGGGCUAAAAUGAUUCUCCUGCCUCAGCCUCCUGGGUAGCAGGGACUAUAGGCAUAAGCCACCAUGCCCAGCUAAGUUUUGUCUUUUUUGUAGAGGCGGGGUUUCACCAGGUUACCCAGGCUGGUCUUGAACUCCUGAGCUCAAGCAAUCCACUCACCUCAGCCUCUCAAAGUGCUGAGAUUACAGCUCUGAGCCACUGCACCAGGUGAACACGGAUAUUUUAAAAGAGUAAUAAAACAUUUUCAAUUGGUCAGAGUUUUCCAAUCUGAGAAGUCAACAUUAUUUAGCUGAACUACCACUCUCCAAAACCUCUUACACUAAUAGGAUUUCUCUCUACUGCAAAACCUUACUUAAGCAAUCCCUGAGAUAACAGCAAAGGGCUUUCCAUGUUUCACAGACUGUGUGGUCUCAUUGCAAGUUACUUCCUGCUGGGUUGUGAAGAGAUUCUGACAGCUUUCCCAUAUUUCUUACAUUCACAUGGCUAUGAACUGUGAUACAGUAAGAUAUGAGAAGCAAAUGAAGUACUUCCUGCAUCCUUUUUAUAAUCACAGGGUUUUACCCCAGUGUGAAUUCUCACAAAGAUAUUAAGGCUUGAGCAAUGAAAUAAGGUGACACCAUAUCCCUGGGAUACACAGGUUCUUCCUCCAAUGUGAGAUUUCAUGUUAACAUUAUGGCAUGUGAGAUAUUUAAAGGUUGCCAUACAUUCCCCUACAUUCCCAGGACAUUUGCAGUCUAAUUUUAUUUUAUUUUUUUUGAGACAGAGUCUUGCUUUGUCACCCAGGAUGGAGUGUAGGGGUCUUGGCUCACUUGCAGUCUAAUUUUAGAUAUGUAAAAUGAGCCUCGUGGAAUUAGUAAAAGCUUUCCCACGUGCCUUACAGCAGAAGUGUUCUCUACACUGUGAAUUUUUAUUUCUCAUGUAAGGUAUAAACAUUUAAUGAAAUCUCUCCACAUUACUAAUAAUGGAGCCUCAGUCCACUCUAAGUCACUAAAUGUUGGGUGAAGUCACAUUUAUGACUUUCAUAGUAAAAGAAACUUUCUCUUCUUGAUGGUCUUUGAUUUUCACAGGGCCUAUCACCACAAGAGUUGGAAGUGAGUAUUAAGAUCUGAUGAGCACUUACAGACUUCUUCACAUGUCCUACAUUCAUAGAACGUCUCUCCUGUGAUUGCUUUUGUGUUUACACUAACACUAAUGA